GACGAACGCUGGCGGCGUGCUUAACACAUGCAAGUCGAACGAAGAGCGAUGGAAGCUUGCUUCUAUCAAUCUUAGUGGCGAACGGGUGAGUCACGCGUAAUCAACCUGCCCUUCAGAGGGGGACAACAGUUGGAAACGACUGCUAAUACCGCAUACGAUCUAAUCUCGGCAUCGAGGAUAGAUGAAAGGUGGCCUCUACAUGUAAGCUAUCACUGAAGGAGGGGAUUGCGUCUGAUUAGCUAGUUGGAGGGGUAACGGCCCACCAAGGCGAUGAUCAGUAGCCGGUCUGAGAGGAUGAACGGCCACAUUGGGACUGAGACACGGCCCAGACUCCUACGGGAGGCAGCAGUGGGGAAUCUUCCGCAAUGGACGAAAGUCUGACGGAGCAACGCCGCGUGAGGGAUGACGGCCUUCGGGUUGUAAAGCUCGGUUAAUCGGGACGAAAGGCCUUCUUGCGAAUAGUGAGAAGGAUUGACGGUACCGGAAUAGAAAGCCACGGCUAACUACGUG
This 510-nucleotide ribosomal RNA is filed under the name uncultured bacterium. RNAcentral describes it as "partial 16S ribosomal RNA". It matches the Rfam family "Bacterial small subunit ribosomal RNA", at positions 28 to 507 of the family's 1533-position model. The record is from RNAcentral.